CACUGCAACCAAAAUACCCUGAGAGCACCAGAUUCUGUCUAAUCUUGGAAACUAAGAAAGGUCAGCCCUGAUUAGUACUUGGAUGGGAGGCCACCAAUGAAUACCAGAUACUGAAGGCU
Molecule: ribosomal RNA, 119 nt
Filed under: Anolis carolinensis (green anole)
Lineage: Eukaryota; Metazoa; Chordata; Lepidosauria; Squamata; Anolidae
Source: RNAcentral